AGGCUUCUGUAUCCGUGCUGAGAUUUCGUCACACACCAGACCACAAAGGCUGAUGAGACCUCCAAAGCAUAAUAUUCA
Molecule: non-coding RNA, 78 nt
Organism: Schistosoma curassoni
Lineage: Eukaryota; Metazoa; Platyhelminthes; Trematoda; Strigeidida; Schistosomatidae
Source: Rfam